This is a long non-coding RNA of Quercus robur (English oak), 4241 nucleotides long. RefSeq lists it as uncharacterized. The record is from RefSeq and is a predicted model, not a curated record. Lineage: Eukaryota; Viridiplantae; Streptophyta; Magnoliopsida; Fagales; Fagaceae. The transcript has 2 exons.
CAUUUUUUUGGUGGUCUGGGUGAGUAUGUUGUGUUGGAAAACCUCCCCAACCUAGUUGAAACAAUCAUUGAACUUGAAGAUAAUGAUUCAAAUACUGUAGAUUAUACAAAUAAGAUAUGGGACUUCAUGGAUUCACUCUAUAACGUUGUAUCCAUGAAAUUCAACCUAGAAACCGCCAAGAUCCUCUGCUAUGGUCCUAUGGAUGGUCUUCCCAUGUUUGAUAAUUUGACUUCCUUGACAUUUGAGGGUAAUAUCUGGCCUUCCUAUUAUAUGUGGCCUGCAGUACAUCUCUUGCUUUGUCAGGCUCCAAAGCUACAAACACUUGGCUUUGAAUUGACAUUCCUAGGUGGCCACAAUGGUUGCCCACCUGACCAUCACUUGGAGAAGACGCAUUAUGUUCCUGAAUGUCUGUCAUCACAUCUUACAACCUGUUAUUAUAAAGGAUUUUCAGGGCAUGAGGUUGAGAUGGAACUUGUUUGACAAGUCUUGAAGGAAGCUUAUAUAUUAAAGACAAUGAAUAUCACUUUUGAAAGUCGUCUAGACUCAGAGAUAAAGCUUCAUGCUUGCAAGAAAUUAAGAAAGCUUCAAAGGAGGUAUCCUACUUGUGAAAUUGAAUUUAACUAAGGACAAUUCGAUUUUUAAGUUCUCUUUCUUAAUUUGUGAGAAGCAAUAGCUUUGUGGGAAUGCCCAUUACUCUUUGCAUCUUUCAUUUGAAACUUCAGUGGAUUCAAGAUUAGAAUAUUUGUUUAAUGUUUAAAUUCUCUGUACUUGUAUUUUUCUUUCAAAAAGGAAAAAAAAAAAAAAGCAUAGAAUAUAUUGUGCUUGCUAUAUCCACAAAGUUACAAACAUGUUUCAUUACAUGGAGGCCCCAUGCAGCUUAUAGAAGUGAGAGCAGCCGUCAUGGUGCAGACUCAAUUUUGCUCUGAGGGUUGUUAAAGGUGGUAGAGGGAGCUUGUUUUGUUAAGAUAUCAAUCUUUAUUUCUUUAGUUGGUUUCUGCUUGAGCGAUUUGGUGGGAAAAAUUAGCUUCCUAAGCCCAUCGCAUAUGCUUCUCUUUGUUUGUAAAAGUGGUGUCAAAGGUGGAGCAAAUUUUGUGGGCUUUUGAAGAUGCUUCUACUAAUGACUUCUAUUGUUAUCUUGUUUACAGUUUUUACCCCAUUCUUGCAUUAGUUCACUUGUGUCUAGAGACUUGGUCCCUGGCUUCUCUAUAAAUUCUAUCACUCCAAUCUUUGUUGCAGAUUAUGUUUCUUUGAGUGGUAUGGAGACCUUCAUGAAUCAUUUCAUAUUUUCCAGCUUAGUGAUGUAUUGGAUUAUGGUACAGCAGAUUUUUAGAAAAUGAUGGUAUGAGAGUAUUAGAAAAUAUUGUUUUGCCUAAUGCCUUUGCAGAUUUACUUGUUAAACCAAUGAAAAGCCUUGUUCUUGCUAGUGAUGAACUUGAAAAUUCGGAAGAAUUAUCUUGAACCUGCUGAUGAAAAAGAUAAAUCUAAAAAGAAAGGCACUUAGAAAACAAAAAUAGUUUAGCUAGAACCAAUACCAGAAUUCCUAAAGAGGGAUUGUAUGGCUAAUCUCUGUGUAGUGGGUGGUCAAUGAUCACAUAUUAAAUGGUAUUGCUAUUUAGUGCAUUUUUUAAGGUAAAUAUGUUGAUAGCUUAUAGUAUUUUUUUUCCACUUUCUUUGAUCACAAUGAAAUAAAGUUUAAUGAUUCUGCACAAAAAAAUAAAAAAGGUGUGGCUAUUCAGUUGGUGUCUACAGAAUUAUAAAAUUUGCUCAUGUCAUUCAUCUUUACUUUACAAUUAUGGCAGUUGUGGCCUGAGAAAUUUCAAAAUAAAGCCUAUGGGGUGACACCAAGAAGGCGGAUCAGCUUUGCAAUCCAGAAUUAAGUAAAAUUGUAACUGAAUGUACUUGUUCAGAAGACUGGGUUUUAAGUAAUGAAAAACUGGCAGAGUUACAAAAGCUAAUCCACCAUAACGAAAUUUCUUGCUUGUAUUGUCAUGGUGCAGAAUCAAUUUUGCUCUGAGGGUUGUUGAAGGUGGUAAAAAGGGGGAUUCUUUUGUUAAUAUUUCAAUCUUUAUUUCCUUAAAUGGUUUCAGUUUGAGUGAUUUGGUGGGAAAAAUUAGCUUUCAAAGGUGGAAUGCUUUUACUGAUGGCUUCUAUUGUUAUCUUUUUUACAGUUUUUACCUUAUUCAUGUCUUAGUUCACUUAUGAAUGGAGACUUGGUGCUCUGGCUUCUCUAUACAUUUUAUACCUACAAUCUUUGUUGAAGAUUAUGUUUCUUCAAAUGAUACGGGGAACUUCUUUACGAAUCAUUCAACAUUCUCAAUUAUACGAUUCAAAUGAUGUGGCAAUUACUUCAUUCCUCUUGAAUAUUGCAUGUCACCUGCUUUGAUUUAAUAUCUUGUGGUGAGGCCAUAUGCAUAUGUAAUUAGGUCCAUGUUUGUGCAUCUCAUUUUCUGUCUUUGCUAUUUUGGAGUUGAUUCCUAUGCUUUAGGGGCAAAAUGCUUUAAGAUUUAAUUUGUAUCUACCAUCUCCUUCAAUUUUGCUAGUUUUUAGUUAGCAUGUUUUCAUUUUAUUAUUUUUUUCUCGUGAUAUAGAAUGUGCUUGCUGAUUUCUUGUUCUCCUGGAGCUUCUUCUUCUUCUUCUUUCCUCCCCAAAUAUUUGAUCGAUAAAAUCUUUUUGUAUUCUUGCUAAGAUGAGAUUAGGGACCAAGUCUCUAGACACGAGUGAACUAAUGAAUCACAACAGUUCUAGUGCAACCUUAAUAUCUUUUGGUGUGGCUAUAUGCAUAUAUAAUAAGGUCCAUGUUUAUGUGAUUCAUUUUUUGUCUUUGCCAUGUUGGAGUUUAUCCCUAUGCUACAGAGGCGUCCUUCAAAUAUGCUAGUUUUUGAUAAGCAUGUUUUCAAUUUGGGAUUUUCCCCCCUUAAUAUAGCAUAAAUUUGCUGAUUACUGGUUCUCCCUAAGCUUCUUCUUUAUUCCUUUUUUCUGCCAGAAUAUCCGAUUGAUAAAAUUUUAUUGUAUCCUUGCUAAGAUGACGAAUGUGAAUAUAGGUUAUAAAUUUUCAUUUGCUAUGCUUCUCAUAAGCUGCUUGACUUUUAUGUAUUUGAUUUUUUUUUAAAGAAGAAAAAACUCUAGCUGUGUAUAUAAAUCUUUAUACUUUGUUUUCAAACAAUAGCUAGUCAAUAGUAAUCAUAGGUGCAAAGAGCUUACUACUUGCACGCACUUAUCUUGUAAUAAGGAGUAGGAACCUUAUUGAUACCCUCCACCAUGAAUGGAACCAUGAAGCCAGUUGGAAGAUUUUUGUGGCUGGUUGACUUGCAAACCAUUAAGGAAAAUCGCUUGAGUACUACAAGAACAGAGCAUAAACUCAUUUGAGCAAGCACUAAAACUGGUAGGUUUACAGUAAGGAGUGCCUAUUGGGUUUAAUUCAUUCAUGGAAGAGCCAAAGUGAAGGAGAAAACUCAGAUAAUCAAUGAUGACAAAGUUUCUAGAAUUGUUUUUGCUGAACAAAAAUUCCUAACAAUGUAACGGAUUUCGGGAGGAGAGAUUGCUGGAAAGAAUUUUAGCAAGAAGACGUGUUCAGGUCGAUCCAAACUAUGAAUGAUGCAAUGAGAAUUUGGAAAGGGUUCUACGCACUUUGUGGUUAGAGAAUGAUCCAAGCUAUGAAUGAUGCAAGGAGGUUUAGAACAAUUUUCCACAGUUGCUUCAGUAUGUUAGAGAAGUCCCCAUUAACUUUUCUCUUUUCAACGAUCUAAUGCUUGGACUAUGGCAGUGGGCAGGAGUUUGAGCUAUUUCUAAUGGUGGCUUGGUCAAUCUGUUGUUCUAGGAAUGUGUUUUAAGUUUGAAGAUGCUCCGAGAGUCCAAUUUUCAAAUGCAAAGGCACUGCUGCAGGAGUUCAAAAGAGUUCACGAACGGUCAAAGGUGGUUAGAUUCUCCCGGAUAGCACAAUGGAGUACAUAGCAACAGGUAAUCUACAAAAUCAAUUCUGAAGGAGCUCUGUUUAUAGAUACCCCAAUGGUCAGGAUUUGGUUUGGUGCUCUGUUGAAAAAGGCCUUGUGUUGUUGCGGGGUAAGCCUACGUGAUCUAGAGGAAGUUGAACUUAUUGCAGCAUUAUAGGCCCUUCGGUUUGCACAUAAAAUGAAGGGUGAUUGUAAAAACUUGUUGGAGCAAUUGUUCAUGGCGUAAAUGCACUUUUAGUCCCUACAUUUUGACCUUUUUUCCAUUUUAGUCCCUACAUUUUAUUUUUUCCA